This is a long non-coding RNA of Cucumis sativus (cucumber), 473 nucleotides long. RefSeq lists it as uncharacterized. The transcript is spliced from 4 exons. The record is from RefSeq and is a predicted model, not a curated record. NCBI's taxonomy places the organism in Eukaryota, Viridiplantae, Streptophyta, Magnoliopsida, Cucurbitales, Cucurbitaceae.
CCAUGAUGAUACAAAUUUGUUAUGAUCAUACUGCAUUUUGAAGUUUUGGGGAACGUUUUGGCGAGCAUGGAUGCUGUUUAUUUUAGUUGGACGCCCACUGCAAAAUCUGUUUUGGAGUUUGUUCGAUCUGUUCGUGAUGAUACCAAUCUGUUAUGAUCCUAUUGCACUUGCAACUUUUAGGGGAGCUGAAUCCUUUCUUGGGAACGUUUUGGGGAGCAUGGAGGCGGUUUAUCUGAGUCGGAAGCCCGCUGCAAAAUCUGUUUUGGAGUUUGUUCGAUCUGUCCAUGAUGAUACAAAUUUGUUAUGAUCAUACUGCAUUUUGAAGUUUUGGGGAACGUUUUGGCGAGCAUGGAUGCUGUUUAUUUUUUAGUUGGACGCCCACUGCAAAAUCUGUUUUGGAGUUUGUUCGAUCUGUUCGUGAUGAUACCAAUCUGUUAUGAUCCUAUUGCACUUGCAACUUUUAGGGUAUUUUU